Molecule: ribosomal RNA, 496 nt
Filed under: uncultured bacterium
Lineage: Bacteria
Description: partial 16S ribosomal RNA
Rfam family: Bacterial small subunit ribosomal RNA
Source: RNAcentral
AUGAACGCUGGCGGCGUGCCUAAUACAUGCAAGUCGAGCGAACAGACGAGGAGCUUGCUCCUCUGACGUUAGCGGCGGACGGGUGAGUAACACGUGGAUAACCUACCUAUAAGACUGGGAUAACUUCGGGAAACCGGAACUAAUACCGGAUAAUAUAUUGAACCGCAUGGUUCAAUAGUGAAAGACGGUUUUGCUGUAGAUUAUCGGUGGGUCCGCGCCGCAUUAGCGAGUUGGUAAGGUAACGGCUUACCAAGGCAACGAUGCGUAGCCGACCUGAGAGGGUGAUCGGCCACACUGGAACUGAGACACGGUCCAGACUCCUACGGGAGGCAGCAGUAGGGAAUCUUCCGCAAUGGGCGAAAGCCUGACGGAGCAACGCCGCGUGAGUGAUGAAGGUCUUCGGAUCGUAAAACUCUGUUAUUAGGGAAGAACAAAUGUGUAAGUAACUAUGCACGUCUUGACGGUACCUAAUCAGAAAGCCACGGCUAACUACGUG